AUAUGCCAUUUGUGUGACUGGCUGUGUGAGCAUAUACCUAGUCGGAUGACUAGGUUGAUAUAUUUAUACAAUGGUGUGAAUGCUUGUGUUGUGCAAUAAUUAUUAUUCAUUAAUAAACUCACAUCUCUUUUGUUUAAAUCUUUCAGGAAGUAGCAUUUUCUAAAUCCCAGCUAUAACUCUGCUCUUCACUAUAAAAAAAGAAAUUCGCUAAUUUUCGUAUUGAUCAAUUAAAUAGAUAAAUGUCCGAAGACUUAUAUGUAUACAUCCGUCAAUGAACUCCGCAGUUAUAGAAUUUGUAUACUUUUAAGUUGUGUAUUAUUAUAGAUGGAAUAAUUCUGUGAGCCUGUUUUAUUAAAUAUAGUG
This 363-nucleotide long non-coding RNA is filed under the name Jatropha curcas. RNAcentral's name for it is "long non-coding RNA (JCUR_LNC001922)". Lineage: Eukaryota; Viridiplantae; Streptophyta; Magnoliopsida; Malpighiales; Euphorbiaceae. The record is from RNAcentral.